UACGGGGGGUGCAAGCGUUGUUCGGAAUUACUGGACGUAAAGCGUGCGCAGGCGAUUUUGUAAGCCAGAUGUGAAAUCCCCGGGCUUAACCUGAGAACUGCAUAUGGGACUGCAAGGCUAGAGUACGGCAGAGGGAGAUGGAAUUCCACGUGUAGCAGUGAAAUGCAUAGAUAUGUGGAGGAACACCGAUGGCGAAGGCAGCCCCCUGGGAUGACACUGACGCUCAUGCACGAAAGCGUGGGGAGCAAACAGG
This 253-nucleotide ribosomal RNA is filed under the name uncultured bacterium. RNAcentral describes it as "partial 16S ribosomal RNA". It matches the Rfam family "Bacterial small subunit ribosomal RNA", at positions 524 to 776 of the family's 1533-position model. The record is from RNAcentral.